This 1432-nucleotide long non-coding RNA is filed under the name Anser brachyrhynchus (Pink-footed goose). RNAcentral's name for it is "lncRNA (ENSABRG00000010881.1)". Lineage: Eukaryota; Metazoa; Chordata; Aves; Anseriformes; Anatidae. The record is from RNAcentral.
AUCUACCUGUACCCAGGAACAGAUGAACAAACAUUUCUGGAAGCUUUUCCCUCAUUUUGAAGGUAGCAAAUAAAUUUUAUGCUAUAGUCUUUCUUUUUCUUUCUUUCUUUCUUUCUUUCUUUCUUUCUUUCUUUCUUUCUUUCUUUCUUUCUUUCUUUCUUUCUUUCUUUCUUUCUUUCUUUCUUCUCAGAAGAUGGUGUAGUGACAGAAUUGCAGAAAAGCAAUUUCCCCUUUUUAUUUCUAAAACAAAGUUCACACUGUCAUCAGCUGACUUUAUUUAAAGGACCAAAAAAAAAAAAAAAAGAGCUUGAAAUAUAGCUAGACACUCCAGCCUGUAUUUUUGUAGAGCUGAUCGUACCAUUUUUUUGCCAGACACAGAGAAGAGCAGGAGUGGAGGUGUGCGCAUAAACAUUUGCCUCGGAGAAAGAAGUGUUUCCACCAGGAUGCUCUCAAGGAGGAUUAAAUAGUGGAAUGAACCUUCCAGCUUGGUGGAUGUGCUGGAGUGAAUCAGAAAGGGCGAGUUUCCUGAAGGCCUGGGAAAAGUUUCCUGAAGGCACAGUGGAAAGCUGUGCCACUGCAUGCGUGCCCCUCUCUGUCGGUCGGCACGAGGUCCCUGCAGGUGCCUGCUCUCUGUGCACCUGGGAACAGCAACUGCAAACCCGAGUGGGUGCCUGCCAUCACCCAACAUCCCUCCCAUGUGAAGUAAUGCCCUCCUCAUCCCGCAAAGUUUCUUGGAAAGCAGAGAGGGACAACCUCAAGAAAUGUCCUGAAAUAAUCCAGAAUGAAUGCCUGUAGAAUGCAAAUUACACUUUUUCUGUCAGAGAUGAACCUUUCAGACCACGUUCUGAGGCAGACACCCUAGCACUGUUUCUACCCGUCUUCCCUUGAGACAGAGGAAAAGAAGGGAACUGAGGGAUACUAAAUGCCUUUAUUCAGCUCUUCUGAAGCACGCUACCCUCACGCACAGAACAGCUGGAAGUCAGGGGAGCCAAGGGAAGCGAUCACACUUCCUUUCCCAGAAGCAAAGCUACUGCAGUCCCUUGUUCUGGCUCUUCUGCUUCCCAAGCCCAUGAGAUAUAAAGCACAGGCUGAGCUACAGUCGAAAGAACAAAUCAUCCAAAGCCACAACCUGUGCUUUCUUGGAGAAGGAAGUUUUUCAGAAAUGCAGGGAAAAUGGCUCUCUGCCACAUCUUGCCUGAAGACCAUACAUAUAUCACUGGAGAUCAGAGGAAGAGAUGACACACGCUGGCAUCAGGCAGGAUUUAUGGAAAGCUGCUCCUGUGACAGUCGUCUCCUACAUGACCUCUUGCAGUUCCUUCUAAGACUUCUUUCUUUUACUCCUUGUAAAUAUUCCUGGUGCAGAGGCAUUGAAAUAUUACAAAAAAAUAUUUGUAUACUCAUAAGGCAGAUGGAUGUGCUAAUUUCUCCAUGA